GAUUUCUGGCUUAAUAAAGCUGACCGGCUCUCGUAAGAGAGUCUGUGUUGGAUUUUAUUUGCCAUCCUUCUAGAGAACGUUCCUACCCUUUACUGGGCCGGGUUCGCAAUCUAGAACUUUUACUUUGAAAAAAUUAGAGUGUUCAAAGCAGGCUUGCGCUACUGAAUACAUUAGCAUGGAAUAAUAAUUUAGGACUUUGGUUCUAUUUUGUUGGUUUCUAGGACUGAAGUAAUGAUUGAUAGGGACAGUUGGGGGUGCUAGUAUUUACCGGCCAGAGGUGAAAUUCUUGGAUUCGGUAAAGACUAACUUAUGCGAAAGCAUU
This 322-nucleotide ribosomal RNA is filed under the name Thaumatomonas sp. RNAcentral describes it as "SSU rRNA". The stretch from base 103 to 322 matches the Rfam family "Eukaryotic small subunit ribosomal RNA", at positions 735 to 955 of the family's 1831-position model. Lineage: Eukaryota; Cercozoa; Imbricatea; Thaumatomonadida; Thaumatomastigidae. The record is from RNAcentral.